This 486-nucleotide ribosomal RNA is filed under the name Triticum aestivum (bread wheat). RNAcentral's name for it is "partial small subunit ribosomal RNA". The record is from RNAcentral. Lineage: Eukaryota; Viridiplantae; Streptophyta; Magnoliopsida; Poales; Poaceae.
AUGUGCCGACAAAUCCAGAUAGGAGCUGCACAUAUCUCGUUCUCAGCGCACACCGGAUUGUCCAACCUUCCGGUAGGCCAGACCAGAGUUGCCCCUGGUGGCCACCGGCAUCCGACAACAAAAGGAACACAAAUCGGGGUCGGUGGUGACUAUGAGGAAUCCAACAAUGAGGCACUCGGCAUCGAGGUCCUGCAGCGCAUCAGCGGCAGGAGGCAGGCCCUAACAGAGAUGGAACAUGGCGGACGCAGGCGGAGGGGAACGCGACGAAGCGGACGGCAGCGGCUUGCUCACCGGCAACGGCUGGAGACGGAGGUCGCCGGCGCAGGGGCUCGACCGGAGUCAACGGUGCGGUCGUCACUGGCCCACGCGACGGAUCAGCGAAGCAAGGGUGCUGGCGAUGCAGAGGACUUGGCUGUGAUGGCGCUGCACUGCAACAGAAGAAGAAGAGGGAGGCGCGGCAGAGGCGAUGGCACGCGGGUCUGGUGA